GCAUACAUGGGCUAGUCUGAGACCUCUGCUACAUAUGUAGCAGAGGACUGCCUUGUCUGGCCUCAGUGAGAGGAGAUGCAUUUGGUCCUGUGGCGGCUUGAUGCCUCAGAGAAGGGGCAUGCUAGACAGAAAACAACAAAGUCACCUGAGGAAAUUAUACCAAUCAAACAACAAGCAGGGAUGUGAGCUUGUGGUAUGUGCUUUGAGGAAUGUACCAAAGACAAUGAUGUGAGCUGAAUCCAGGGGAAGCAGUUGAAAGACUCCCCUAAAGGAACAAAAUGACAAAGGUUCAACACUUGAGAAAUUAAGUAAGAAAGUUGCCAUGGAGGAAUUCAGUUCUACCCAGAUGGAACAUUUGGGAACUCGCAGCUUGGCAUUGCCACGUCCUAUCGGCAAGAGUAGUGGUGCAGAUGGUACCUUUCCAUCUCUGUGAUGCGCCAGCACAGGCAGGGCGUCCAGCUGUCUGCACCACCCCCACAUCAGCUCCAAGAUUACAUAGAGGAAGAACACACCGCUUGAGUUAAGUGGGAGACCCUUAGGAAAUUUUAUUCCUUAAGGCUCAGACAUUACUAACAUUGUAAAGUUUCUUCUUGAAGGAAGCAGAUGGGAUUGCCUGACCAUGACUUUUAUCUGCUGUUUUUUGAUGCUAGGAAUCAAACCCAAAGCCUUAAGCAUGGUGGCUAUGACAUUUUAAUCAAGCCUAUGAUUGAAGCAUAACAUACAGAAAGAAUGGUGAGAAGAUUCCAUAUCGAAAGGCUCAGCAAGCUGACACUCACUGAAUACCUCCAUGUAACCAGCAUUUAUGCCAAUACCAGGAUAUUAGCAGUAUCCUAGAAACUUCCCUCCAACUUGCUUUAGUCACUGACCAUUCACCUCAAAUGGAAACUACUGAUUUGACUUCUAACAGUAUGGAUUUGUUUCUUCUGUUUUUGAAAUUCAUAUACAUGGGUUAAUCAAUGUGUUCUCCUGUAUUUGUCUUUCUCCAUUCUACAUCAUGCUAGUGAUGAUUAUACAUGCUACAUCAGCCUGUCUUUAAAGUUUACUCGCUCUUAUUGUUGUUUGUCUCCCAUGUUUUUUAAAUUUAUU
Long non-coding RNA from Mus musculus (house mouse), 1086 nucleotides. RefSeq annotates it as predicted gene, 39943. The record is from RefSeq and is a predicted model, not a curated record. Lineage: Eukaryota; Metazoa; Chordata; Mammalia; Rodentia; Muridae. The transcript has 6 exons.